UAGUCUAACACAAUAAUUAAAUUACUAAUUAUUCGCCAAAUAACUACGAGUAAAAACUUAAAAUUUAAAAGACUUGACGGUGUCUCACAACAGCCUAGAGGAGCCUGUCUACUAACCGAUACCCCACGAUUAACCCAACCCCUUCUAGCCCACAGUCUAUAUACCACCGUCGCCAGCUUACCUUGUAAAAGAAAUGAAGUAAACUAAACAACCAAACAUUAACACGACAGGUCGAGGUGUAACUCAUGAAGAGGAAAAGAUGGGCUACAUUUUCUAAACCAGAAAAUACGGAUAAACUAUGAAACAAGAAACUGAAGGCGGAUUUAGCAGUACAUUAAGAAUAAAAUACCUAAUAGAAAUCAACGCAAUGAGACGCGUACACACCGCCCGUCAC
This 394-nucleotide ribosomal RNA is filed under the name Calamaria pavimentata. RNAcentral's name for it is "partial 12S ribosomal RNA". The record is from RNAcentral. Lineage: Eukaryota; Metazoa; Chordata; Lepidosauria; Squamata; Calamariidae.